UUUGCACUGGAGAAAUGAUCUCAUUAACAAACUAGUUCUGUGCGUCCUUAACACUGAGGCCCCUCGCCUGCAGCUGGAGGCAGCUCUCUGUUCAGCCCCAGUGCAGAGUGACACAGACAGGCGACAGCGUCGCUGAGCACCAACUUCUAUUCCACGGAGGCAGACAGCGAAAACCAUUUCAUAACCAUGGCAAGGCAUGAGAGAAGCACAGGGGUAGCUGCAAAGUUUUGGAAAAGACCUCUGCAACAACUGGAAGCACAGUGUACCCAAGUGGUGGGUCUCGUCUGUGGCAAUAUAAUUUUCUAUCUGUCCAAUUGAAUAUGGCUGUAAAGGGAAUAAAACCCCAUGUAAUCUCCAGCAGUGACAAUUUAAUCAGUUGUAUAAGGGGGAAAAAAGCAGAGUCCCCUCAUUUUCAUAUUUGCAUAUUUGAUUUUUGCAUUGGGGAAUAGAGGUUUUGUUUUUCUAUUACUUUGCAUUCAAUUUUAAUAUUUAAUCUUUUUAUGAGCAAAUUUUUAUAGUGGUAUGUAAUACUGAGUCAGACAGGUCUAAAAUAGAAAGGAAAGAUUCCAUUUCUGAAAUCAAGCCCCUGAUCCAAUAUGCUUUGUGUAACAUUUUUCCUUGUACAGAAUCUAUGUGCCUAACAUGGCUUGCAUGCUCCCAGCUUCUGCACGUGAUGCAUCUGCUAUUAACAUUCAGAGAUUCACCCUGAAAAUGAAGGCAACUGUUUGGAGAACAAUGUAAAAUGAUGAGAAUAGACCAUCCUAUGACCCCCUUUUUACAUUAAUAUUUCUUAAAAUGGUAAAUCUUAUUGAUUGCAUCUAUUUCCAAGGAAGUAGGGUUUCUUAAAUGCUUUAUAUACACAGGAGCCAGUUUUUAUGAGGUUAUAGAGGAGCAGUAAAUACAGUAAGAUUAAUAAAACUUCGUUGUUUUCACAAUUGACAGAAUGAUAUUAUUGCCUAUAGGGUAAUAACAGCUUAUGGGAUUGAUUUUAAGAUGAAUAAGAUGCAAGUAAUUCGAACUUAUCAUCAAUUACCCUUGGUUACUCCCAUGAGUAUGUAUCUAGCCAAAAUGGUGUUGGAUUUGAAUUACUGGGACAUAGAUAGCUGUUUCUUUAUGCAUCAAUGCAUUCUAGCCUCCACUUGCGAAAACUCCAAAAGUAUGUUGGGUAAUUUAAAAAAAUAAGGAUAGUACUCUACUUGCUUAAUGAUUUAGAAUUUCUUUAUAAAAAGUGAACUCUGAAGUCAAUAUUUCACUGGAGAGGGAAAGAAUAAUGAUUUUAAUUCUAUGUAAUUUUUUUAAAGCUUAAAAACAAGUUUUGAAAUGUUUUAUGUACUAAAUUUAAUCUAUGUACAUAUUUACACACACAUAUAUAUACAUGUGUAUAUGUGUGCCUGCAUAUAUGUGUGUGUAUGUGUGAUGUGUGUGUGUAUAUAAAUGUGGCCUAAAUGUUGCCAACCAAAUUUUAUGAGCAAUAACUACAUUUGGAAUUGUGAAAAUAUGAGCCAUAGGAUUUUAUUCAAAAACAGAGCAGUGAGUCUUUUUAAUGUACAUCUAUGAAAAGCAUACCAGUAGCAGUAUACAGGCAUCAUUAGAUGACAGGUAUAAAAUCCUUUGGGCAAGCACUGAUGCACAUUAAAUUCAAGUACAUAAUAUGUCAAGUUUUGAGUAUGUUCUUGUUUAUUUAAAUCUGCAUUCUGAUGAUGAUCUUUUCAAAGAGAUUGCAUAUAUAUGAAUAUGUGAUCUAGUGUUUACAUAUUCAAAUUAACCUGUUUCUUUGAAUAUGGUCUAAUGAUUGAAUGAUCUCCCAAACAUGGCAACUCCUCAGGGAAAUAUAUUGAUGCCUCAGCAUAUUUCCUCAAGGCCUGGAGAGUACUAGAUAUGACAAGGAGUGCCUUCAAGCAUGGAAGCCCUGCUCUACCUAAACGAAAGUCCUAGGCUUUAAUCACAAAGGCUAGGUUCACACUAAUGCAAUUAACCAUAUGAUUGCUUUCGAAGGAGCCUAACCUCAUCAGCAUCUUUCCUUUAGGCAAACUGACAAUGCUGGAUCUAGUCAAUGACUCAAGAGAAUUUGAUUAGCUAAGAGGUACAAGGCUCUGCAUAUGCAGUCACAAAUGCACAGUAGGAAUGUUCAUCUCCAACCUAUCAUUUCACAAUCAACUAUAAAUUUAAGCAAUUAAGGUAAAAUAAUUGUUCCAUGAAAUAAUUAAGAGUUGACAAUUAUCAGGAUGAAGGUGAAGACUACAUCCAAAUGAAAAUGAUCUGUUUUAUAGUUUGUUUGUUUGUUUGUUUAUUUAUUGGGUUGUGUGCUUGUUUUGUUUUGUUUGAGGGAGGAUGGGAGAGGGCCAUGAUAGUUAAAACUAAAAAUAAGAUUUACUUGGAGAACUGAUGAGGCACAGUGGCUCACUCCUGUAAUCCCUGCAUUUUGAGAGGCCAAGGCAGGUGGAUCACCUGAGGUAAGGAGUUUGAGACCAGCCUGGCCAACAUGAUGAGACCCUGUCUCUAUUAAAAAUACAAAAAAUUAGCCAGGCAUGGUGGUGGGUGCCUGUAAUCCUAGCUACUCUGGAGACUGAGGCAGGACAAUAACUUGAACCCGGGAGGCGAAGGUUGCAGUGAGCCGAGAUCACACCAAUGCACUCCAGCCUGGUCAACAAGAGUAAAACUCAGUCUCAUAUGUGUGUGUGUGUGUUUGUGUGUGUGUACAUACAGAUACACCUAUGUGUAUGUGCGUGUGUACUUUUUUAACCUUAUUUGACCUUGCGACUUUACAAAUCAUUGCUGGACUUGAUAACAUGUUGUAGGGCCAGAAAAGGUAUGAUAUCUUUCCUCCCCAUCAUAAUAAUCACAGCUGACCCUCCUAUCACAAAAGACAGGUUAAUGAGAGAAAAGCGUAACACAUUUAUUUAAUCAAAGUCUUAUGAGUCAUGAGAGCCUUCAGAAAUGAAGCCCAGUCUCCCAAGGGAAAACUGUCCAUUUUUAUGCUUAGAUUCAAUGAUGAGUGAACAGUCAUAUAAAAAUAUGAUUGAACAAAGAGAGAAAUGAUCUAACAGAAAUAUACUGAGUGGGAAAAGCCAGCAAGGCUUGUCUGUUUGGAUUCUACUUGGCCUGUCUGUUGUGGCAUUUUUUCCUCCUGGAUAUAGGGCAGGACUCCUUCCAGAAUAAGGUUCUUCUCAUCUUCUUUGAGACAAAUUAGGUCAUAUAAUUUCUUAUGGACAAGAUUUUACACAAAAAGGCAGAGGAAAGUUAGGGUAAUAAUUCUAGGUUUUACGGCUUGGUUUGGGGAAAAAGAGUUCUAGUUUCUAUGACUCACUUGGAAGAGGAAUUCUGGUUUCUGUGACUCACUUCAGGGAAGAAUGAGGGGCAAGAAACAGGAGGGCAGGAGAAGGUCAGAGGCAUACAUUAGUCCUGAUGCUGCUUCUGAGGCCUUCCAAUGUGCUUUAGUUCUAAGUAGUUGGUAUGUCAAAGUGCUGUACUUUGGGUUAUCUUUUUCUGAACCCCCCACAAAAUCAAAUCUGAACUAGAAGCUUUCUAGCAUCUUCUUCUUAAUGAAUCCUAAUAAAGACAUUUCUACUGGCAUAUGGAUAUAAUUUUUGGUUACUAUCUAUUAAAAUUAUUUCUCCAGGCCAGGAGCAGUGGCUCACACCUGUAAUCCCAACGCACUGGAAGGCCGAGGUGGGCAGUUCACUUUAGCCCAAAACCUAGAGACCUUAGGCAUGGUGCAGAGGGCAGAAAGAAGACAAAGAACGAAGAUAAAAGAAGCCUUUUUCCUCAAGAAGAUUGUAAUCUAGUGGUGGAGCUGGAAAAUAAAGGGAAAGCAGUGGCCAUGUAUGUCAUGAGGACAUUCCAGUAACCCCAUGUGGUAAGGAACCAAGUCAGCCUGCCAACAACCACUGAAAAACUGAGCCCUCCUGCUGACAGCCAUGUGAGAGGAACACCUGGGAAGUGGAUCCUCCAGGCCUGGUCAUACUUCAGAUGACUGCAGCCCAAGCCAACAUCUUGCUUGAGUGGAGCCUCAUGAGUGACUCAGUCAAAACCACACAGCUGAGAUAUUUCCAACCCACAGAUACUGAGAUAAUAAAUGUUUAUUGCUACUAGGUUUCCUUCCUUCCUUCCUUCCUUCCUUUUUCUCUUCUCUUCUCCUUCCUUCCUUCCUCCCUCCCUCUCCUCCUCCUCCGUCUUCUUCCUCUUCCUCUUCUUCCUCUUCCCCUUCCCCUUCCUCUUCCUCCUUCUUUCUUUCUUACUUUCUUUCUCUUUCUUUCUUUCUUUCUCUAUGAAAAUAUCAGGUGUACUAUAUUUUACCUGCCUUCAUG
Molecule: long non-coding RNA, 4307 nt
Filed under: Homo sapiens (human)
Lineage: Eukaryota; Metazoa; Chordata; Mammalia; Primates; Hominidae
Description: non-protein coding lnc-ZIC1-5:5
Source: RNAcentral